UUAAGUUAAAAAGGGCGCAUGGUGAAUGCCUUGGCACUAGAAGCCGAUGAAGGACGGGACUAACACCGAUAUGCUUCGGGGAGCUGUACGUAAGCUUUGAUCCGGAGAUUUCCGAAUGGGGAAACCCAGCAGCUUUAAUCAGCUGUUACUAUAUAGUGAAUUCAUAGCUAUAUAGAGGUAGACGUGGGGAACUGAAACAUCUCAGUACCCACAGGAGCAGAAAGAAAUUUCGAUUCCCUAAGUAGCGGCGAGCGAACGGGGAACAGCCCAAACCAACGAGCUUGCUCGUUGGGGUUGUAGGACUGAACAUUUGAGUUACCAAAGUUGUUGAUAAUCGAACAAUCUGGGAAGGUUGGCGAAACAGGGUGAUAGCCCCGUAGGUGAAAUCAAUGACCCUCAGUUCAGGAUCCUGAGUACGGCGACACACGUGAAACGUCGUCGGAAUCCGGGAGGACCAUCUCCCAAGGCUAAAUACUCUCUAGUGACCGAUAGUGAACCAGUACCGUGAGGGAAAGGUGAAAAGCACCCCGGAAGGGGAGUGAAAUAGUUCCUGAAACCAUGUGCCUACAAGCAGUUAGAGCCCGUUAAUGGGUGAUAGCGUGCCUCUUGUAGAAUGAACCGGCGAGUUACGGUAACAUGCAAGGUUAAGGUUUAAAAGCCGGAGCCGCAGCGAAAGCGAGUCUGAAAUGGGCGCUUGAGUAUGUUGCUGUAGACCCGAAACCAGGUGAUCUACCCAUGUCCAGGCUGAAGGUGCGGUAAAACGCACUGGAGGGCCGAACCCGUGUACGUUGAAAAGUGCUGGGAUGAGGUGUGGGUAGCGGUGAAAUUCCAAACGAACUUGGAGAUAGCUGGUUCUCUCCGAAAUAGCUUUAGGGCUAGCCUCGGACGUAGAAUCAUGGAGGUAGAGCCACUGUUUGGAUGAGGGGCCCGUCAUGGGUUACUAAGUUCAGAUAAACUCCGAAUACCAUUGAUUUUUAUCCGGGAGUCAGACGGUGAGUGAUAAGAUCCAUCGUCAAAAGGGGAACAGCCCAGACCACCAGUUAAGGUCCCUAAAUAUAUGCUAAGUGGAAAAGGAUGUGGAGUUGCAUAGACAACUAGGAUGUUGGCUCAGAAGCAGCCAUCAUUUAAAGAGUGCGUAAUAGCUCACUAGUCGAGUGAUUCCGCGCCGAAAAUUUACCGGGGCUAAGCAUAUUACCGAGACUGUGGACUUGACCUUUGGUCAAGUGAUAGGAGAGCGUUCUAAGGGCAAUGAAGCCAGACCGUAAGGACUGGUGGAGCGCUUAGAAGUGAGAAUGCCGGUAUGAGUAGCGAAAGAUCAGUGAGAAUCUGAUCCACCGAAUGACUAAGGUUUCCUGGGGAAGGCUCGUCCUCCCAGGGUUAGUCGGGACCUAAGCCGAGGCCGAAAGGCGUAGGCGAUGGAUAACAGGUUGAGAUUCCUGUACUAGUUGAUGAUGUUUGAGCGAUGGAGGGACGCAGGAGGCUAAGUUGUGCAUCCAGUUGGAAAGGGAUGUUCAAGCAACGAGUCAGUCAAUGAGUUAAAUGCUUAUUGGCGGGUUGACAAGUUGUGAUGAGGACCGAAAUUUAAGUAGGGAAGCAACCGACGUCACACUGCCGAGAAAAGCUUCUAGUGAGUCAUCAACUACCCGUACCGCAAACCGACACAGGUAGUCGAGGAGAGAAUCCUCAGGUGAGCGAGUGAACUCUCGUUAAGGAACUCGGCAAAAUGACCCCGUAACUUCGGGAGAAGGGGUGCUGUGCGCAAGCACAGCCGCAGUGAAAAGGCCCAGGCGACUGUUUAUCAAAAACACAGGUUUCUGCAAAAUCGUAAGAUGACGUAUAGGGGCUGACGCCUGCCCGGUGCUGGAAGGUUAAGUGGAUGAGUUAGCUUCGGCGAAGCCCAGAAAUGAAGCCCCAGUAAACGGCGGCCGUAACUAUAACGGUCCUAAGGUAGCGAAAUUCCUUGUCGGGUAAGUUCCGACCCGCACGAAAGGCGUAACGAUCUGGGCACUGUCUCAACGAGAGACUCGGUGAAAUUAAGAUACCUGUGAAGAAGCAGGUUACCCGCGACAGGACGGAAAGACCCCAUGGAGCUUUACUGUAGCUUGAUAUUGGGUGUUGACACAGCUUGUACAGGAUAGGUAGGAGCCAUUGAAGCCGGAACGCUAGUUUCGGCAGAGGCGUUGGUGGGAUACUACCCUCGCUGUGUGAACACUCUAACCCGCGCCACUCAGCGUGGCGGGAGACAGUGUCAGGUAGGCAGUUUGACUGGGGCGGUCGCCUCCCAAACAGUAACGGAGGCGCCCAAAGGUUCCCUCAGAAUGGUUGGAAAUCAUUCAACGAGUGUAAAGGCAGAAGGGAGCUUGACUGCGAGACAGACAGGUCGAGCAGGGACGAAAGUCGGGCUUAGUGAUCCGGUGGUACCGUAUGGAAGGGCCAUCGCUCAACGGAUAAAAGCUACCCUGGGGAUAACAGGCUUAUCUCCCCCAAGAGUCCACAUCGACGGGGAGGUUUGGCACCUCGAUGUCGGCUCAUCGCAUCCUGGGGCUGUAGUCGGUCCCAAGGGUUGGGCUGUUCGCCCAUUAAAGCGGUACGCGAGCUGGGUUCAGAACGUCGUGAGACAGUUCGGUCCCUAUCCGUCGCGGGCGUAGGAAAUUUGAGAGGAGCUGUCCUUAGUACGAGAGGACCGGGAUGGACAUACCGCUGGUGUACCAGUUGCGCCGCCAGGCGCACCGCUGGGUAGCUACGUAUGGAUGAGAUAAACGCUGAAAGCAUCUAAGUGUGAAACUCACCUCAAGAUGAGAUUUCCCAUUCCUAUAUGGAAGUAAGACCCCUGAGAGAUGAUCAGGUAGAUAGGUUGGAAGUGGAAGUGCAGUGAUGUACGGAGCGGACCAAUACUAAUCGGUCGAGGACUUAACC
Molecule: ribosomal RNA, 2916 nt
Filed under: Lentilactobacillus parabuchneri
Lineage: Bacteria; Bacillati; Bacillota; Bacilli; Lactobacillales; Lactobacillaceae
Description: bacterial LSU rRNA
Rfam family: Bacterial large subunit ribosomal RNA
Source: RNAcentral